RNAcentral lists this ribosomal RNA (253 nucleotides) under uncultured bacterium. Its description in RNAcentral is "partial 16S ribosomal RNA". It matches the Rfam family "Bacterial small subunit ribosomal RNA", at positions 524 to 776 of the family's 1533-position model. The record is from RNAcentral.
UACGAAGGGGGCUAGCGUUGCUCGGAAUCACUGGGCGUAAAGGGUGCGUAGGCGGGUCUUUAAGUCAGGGGUGAAAUCCUGGAGCUCAACUCCAGAACUGCCUUUGAUACUGAGGAUCUUGAGUCCGGGAGAGGUGAGUGGAACUGCGAGUGUAGAGGUGAAAUUCGUAGAUAUUCGCAAGAACACCAGUGGCAAAGGCGGCUCACUGGCCCGGUACUGACGCUGAGGUGCGAAAGCGUGGGGAGCAAACAGG